RNAcentral lists this ribosomal RNA (253 nucleotides) under uncultured bacterium. RNAcentral describes it as "partial 16S ribosomal RNA". It matches the Rfam family "Bacterial small subunit ribosomal RNA", at positions 524 to 776 of the family's 1533-position model. The record is from RNAcentral.
UACGAAGGGUGCAAGCGUUACUCGGAAUUACUGGGCGUAAAGCGUGCGUAGGUGGUGACUUAAGUCUGAUGUGAAAGCCCUGGGCUCAACCUGGGAAUGGCAUUGGAAACUGGGUCACUGGAGUGCGGUAGAGGAUGGCGGAAUUCCCGGUGUAGCAGUGAAAUGCGUAGAGAUCGGGAGGAACAUCCGUGGCGAAGGCGGCCAUCUGGACCAGCACUGACACAGAGGCACGAAAGCGUGGGGAGCAAACAGG